Long non-coding RNA from Microtus oregoni (creeping vole), 151 nucleotides. RefSeq lists it as uncharacterized. The record is from RefSeq and is a predicted model, not a curated record. The transcript has 3 exons. Lineage: Eukaryota; Metazoa; Chordata; Mammalia; Rodentia; Cricetidae.
AGGAAAGGAGUAGAAGAAACGCAUCCCAGAUCCAACAGCACUCUGGAAUGUGUCUGAGCAGAGCCUACCAUCCACUUAAGAAAUGGCAUUGAUUAUUGAGCGCAGGAUAUGUUUCCAGCCCCCUAUAACUGUCACCAGUGGGCAAACUGGC